RNAcentral lists this ribosomal RNA (253 nucleotides) under uncultured bacterium. RNAcentral's name for it is "partial 16S ribosomal RNA". It matches the Rfam family "Bacterial small subunit ribosomal RNA", at positions 524 to 776 of the family's 1533-position model. The record is from RNAcentral.
UACGGAGGAUGCGAGCGUUAUCCGGAUUUACUGGGUGUAAAGGGAGCGUAGACGGCUGUGCAAGUCUGAAGCGAAAGCCCGUGGCUCAACCGCGGAACUGCUUUGGAAACUGUAUAGCUUGAGUACUGGAGAGGCAGGCGGAAUUCCUAGUGUAGCGGUGAAAUGCGUAGAUAUUAGGAGGAACACCAGUGGCGAAGGCGGCCUGCUGGACAGAAACUGACGUUGAGGCUCGAAAGCGUGGGGAGCAAACAGG